CUCGAUGACGAGUCUGACGGAGCACGCCGCGUGAGCGAUGAAGGCCUUCGGGUCGUAAGCUCUGUUGUUAGGGAAGAACAAGUAUCGGAGUAACUGCCGGUACCUUGACGGUACCUAACCAGAAAGCCACGGCUAACUACGUGCCAGCAGCCGCGGUAAUA
RNAcentral lists this ribosomal RNA (161 nucleotides) under uncultured Bacillus sp. RNAcentral describes it as "partial 16S ribosomal RNA". It matches the Rfam family "Bacterial small subunit ribosomal RNA", at positions 371 to 525 of the family's 1533-position model. Lineage: Bacteria; Bacillati; Bacillota; Bacilli; Caryophanales; Bacillaceae. The record is from RNAcentral.